AUGUCUGGGAAACUAGCCCGAUGGAGAGGGAGUAACUACUGGAAACGGUAGCUAAUACCGCAUAACGUCGCAAGACCAAAGAGGGGGACCUUCGGGCCUCUUGCCAUCGGAUGUGCCCAGAUGGGAUUAGCUAGUAGGUGGGGUAACGGCUCACCUAGGCGACGAUCCCUAGCUGGUCUGAGAGGAUGACCAGCCACACUGGAACUGAGACACGGUCCAGACUCCUACGGGAGGCAGCAUG
RNAcentral lists this ribosomal RNA (241 nucleotides) under uncultured bacterium. RNAcentral describes it as "partial 16S ribosomal RNA". It matches the Rfam family "Bacterial small subunit ribosomal RNA", at positions 113 to 353 of the family's 1533-position model. The record is from RNAcentral.